Molecule: long non-coding RNA, 506 nt
Filed under: Cricetulus griseus (Chinese hamster)
Lineage: Eukaryota; Metazoa; Chordata; Mammalia; Rodentia; Cricetidae
Description: lncRNA (ENSCGRG00015041765.1)
Source: RNAcentral
GGGCAGCUCGGGUUAAUAUAUGUCGUCAGAGGCUCCUCACGCCAAUCCCGGGGCGGCGGGGGCGGCGCCUCGCGCUCUCCGCAAUAAAACUUUUUGAUGUUCACGUUGCUAAUUGCCGAGGUCCUCUUCUAGGAUUGGUUGUCCACUCAUAACCAUAAGAUAAUUAAAACAAGGGGGGAGGGUUAAAAAAAAACCUUUUUAUCAGCCAUAGGUUAAUGCAAGUGUUUAACAGAUGCUUCGCUAUUAAAAUAUCCCCCCCCAUGGAAGAAUCUCAAACCAGCAACCCCAACAGAGACUUCGGAGGUUUUCAAAGUGGGGCACCUCGAUUUCUCGAAUUUGUGGUGUGGCAAGUACCCGUGUUCCGCUGGUUUAACUAGCCUGUUUGGGCGGGCAGGAGGAGGCGAGAUUACCACAUUCAGGUCUGGAGAGAUCCCUGGUGGGAUUCGUGGGCCGGCACCUUCCUCCAGGCAUCACCGAGAACUUUUCGCCCGAUGAGGGCAGGAAGG